Molecule: non-coding RNA, 630 nt
Organism: Rattus norvegicus (Norway rat)
Lineage: Eukaryota; Metazoa; Chordata; Mammalia; Rodentia; Muridae
Source: RefSeq, a predicted model, not a curated record
GAAGCUUGACUGAGCUGUACACUCAGUCUGCUAACCAUUAUCCCACGUGUACGGCUUUUAAAUCAGAACUACCUUUGGAGUAUAUGGGUUGACGACACUCAACUGACUGACUCUCAUCUCAGCCUCUGACAAGAUACAUAAAAUGUAUAAAUAUAACACCGCAGCAUGCUUCACUUACUGAUGGAAUACUGAGAGGCUGGGAUUCGUAUGUGCAGAAAGACAGCUGGAGGGCUUUGACAGUGAUGGCAGGAUUUUAUUACUCUCCCCGCAAAUGAAAAGUGGGAAGAGAGGGCUUUGGACCACACCACAUGAUCAUCACUAACAACGUAAUCCAGUGAGAGCUUUGGAGCCUGAAUCAUUUGGAGCAUCAGAUUAACCGCUCCAGGGUGUGGCAGCUAAGGUCGGCCAUGCGUGUGGACAACUCUAUCUGUGACACUGUGCUCCCUUACAAAGUCACCAAGGCUUGGGCAAGCCUUCCCUUGUUGGCAAUACUCACACAGAUUAUCACAUACUGUUGGGAGGAAUCAGUACCAUUUGUACCUCAGCUGGAAAGACCUUGCGUUUGGAAGUCUAAGGAUUCUGUCUGCGUUCCUCUGUACUUCGUCUGUAAUAAACCAUAACUGCACGUUA